RNAcentral lists this ribosomal RNA (310 nucleotides) under uncultured bacterium. RNAcentral's name for it is "partial 16S ribosomal RNA". It matches the Rfam family "Bacterial small subunit ribosomal RNA", at positions 503 to 807 of the family's 1533-position model. The record is from RNAcentral.
AAGAGACAGCAGCCGCCGCGGGAAUACGGAGGGUGCAAGCGUUAAUCGGAAUUACUGGGCGUAAAGCGCACGCAGGCGGUCUGACAAGUCAGAUGUGAAAUCCCCGGGCUUAACCUGGGAACUGCAUUUGAAACUGUCAGGCUGGAGUCUUGUAGAGGGGGGUGGAAUUCCAGGUGUAGCGGUGAAAUGCGUAGAGAUCUGGAGGAAUACCGGUGGCGAAGGCGGCCCCCUGGACAAAGACUGACGCUCAGGUGCGAAAGCGUGGGGAGCAAACAGGAUUAGAUACCCGCGUAGUCCCUGUCUCUUAUAC